AGAGUUGAUCCUGGCUCAGGAUGAACGCUAGCUACAGGCUUAACACAUGCAAGUCGAGGGGAAACGAUAUUGGAAGCUUGCUUCCGAUAGGCGUCGACCGGCGCACGGGUGAGUAACGCGUAUCCAACCUGCCCACCACUUGGGGAUAACCUUGCGAAAGUAAGACUAAUACCCAAUGAUAUCUCUAGAAGACAUCUGAAAGAGAUUAAAGAUUUAUCGGUGAUGGAUGGGGAUGCGUCUGAUUAGCUUGUUGGCGGGGUAACGGCCCACCAAGGCAACGAUCAGUAGGGGUUCUGAGAGGAAGGUCCCCCACAUUGGAACUGAGACACGGUCCAAACUCCUACGGGAGGCAGCAGUGAGGAAUAUUGGUCAAUGGACGAGAGUCUGAACCAGCCAAGUAGCGUGCAGGAAGACGGCCCUAUGGGUUGUAAACUGCUUUUAUAAGGGAAUAAAGUGAGAGUCGUGACUCUUUUUGCAUGUACCUUAUGAAUAAGGACCGGCUAAUUCCGUGCCAGCAGCCGCGGUAAUACGGAAGGUCCGGGCGUUAUCCGGAUUUAUUGGGUUUAAAGGGAGCGUAGGCCGGAGAUUAAGCGUGUUGUGAAAUGUAGACGCUCAACGUCUGCACUGCAGCGCGAACUGGUUUCCUUGAGUACGCACAAAGUGGGCGGAAUUCGUGGUGUAGCGGUGAAAUGCUUAGAUAUCACGAAGAACUCCGAUUGCGAAGGCAGCUCACUGGAGCGCAACUGACGCUGAAGCUCGAAAGUGCGGGUAUCGAACAGGAUUAGAUACCCUGGUAGUCCGCACGGUAAACGAUGGAUGCCCGCUGUUGGUCUGAAUAGGUCAGCGGCCAAGCGAAAGCAUUAAGCAUCCCACCUGGGGAGUACGCCGGCAACGGUGAAACUCAAAGGAAUUGACGGGGGCCCGCACAAGCAGUGGAGUAUGUGGUUUAAUUCGACGCAACGCGAAGAACCUUACCAGGUCUUGACAUCGUAUGCAUAGUGUAGAGAUACACGAAGUCCUUCGGGACAUACAGACAGGUGGUGCAUGGUUGUCGUCAGCUCGUGUCGUGAGAUGUUGGGUUAAGUCCCGCAACGAGCGCAACCCUUGUAUUUAGUUGCUACGCAAGAGCACUCUAGAUAGACUGCCGUGGACAACACGGAGGAAGGUGGGGAUGACGUCAAAUCAUCAUGCCCCUUAUGACCUGGGCUACACACGUACUACAAUGGCAAUAGAACAGAGGGAAGCGACUCAGCGAUGAGAAGCAGAUCCCGAAAAAUUGUCUCAGUUCGGAUUGCAGGCUGCAACCCGCCUGCAUGAAGUCGGAAUUGCUAGUAAUCGCGGAUCAGCAUGCCGCGGUGAAUACGUUCCCGGGCCUUGUACACACCGCCCGUCACACCAUGGGAGUCGGUAACACCCGAAGCCCGUAGCCUAACAGCAAUGAGGGCGCGGUCGAAGGUGGGAUUGAUGACAGGGGUGAAGUCGUAACAAGGUA
Molecule: ribosomal RNA, 1492 nt
Filed under: metagenome
Description: bacterial SSU rRNA
Rfam family: Bacterial small subunit ribosomal RNA
Source: RNAcentral